GGGUUGUGAGGUUAAGCGACUAAGCGUACACGGUGGAUGCCCUGGCAGUCAGAGGCGAUGAAGGACGUGCUAAUCUGCGAUAAGCGUCGGUAAGGUGAUAUGAACCGUUAUAACCGGCGAUUUCCGAAUGGGGAAACCCAGUGUGAUUCGUCACACUAUCAUUAACUGAAUCCAUAGGUUAAUGAGGCGAACCGGGGGAACUGAAACAUCUAAGUACCCCGAGGAAAAGAAAUCAACCGAGAUUCCCCCAGUAGCGGCGAGCGAACGGGGAGCAGCCCAGAGCCUGAAUCAGUGUGUGUGUUAGUGGAAGCGUCUGGAAAGGCGUGCGAUACAGGGUGACAGCCCCGUACACAAAAAUGCACAUGCUGUGAGCUCGAUGAGUAGGGCGGGACACGUGGUAUCCUGUCUGAAUAUGGGGGGACCAUCCUCCAAGGCUAAAUACUCCUGACUGACCGAUAGUGAACCAGUACCGUGAGGGAAAGGCGAAAAGAACCCCGGCGAGGGGAGUGAAAAAGAACCUGAAACCGUGUACGUACAAGCAGUGGGAGCCUCUUUAUGGGGUGACUGCGUACCUUUUGUAUAAUGGGUCAGCGACUUAUAUUCUGUAGCAAGGUUAACCGAAUAGGGGAGCCGAAGGGAAACCGAGUCUUAACUGGGCGUUAAGUUGCAGGGUAUAGACCCGAAACCCGGUGAUCUAGCCAUGGGCAGGUUGAAGGUUGGGUAACACUAACUGGAGGACCGAACCGACUAAUGUUGAAAAAUUAGCGGAUGACUUGUGGCUGGGGGUGAAAGGCCAAUCAAACCGGGAGAUAGCUGGUUCUCCCCGAAAGCUAUUUAGGUAGCGCCUCGUGAAUUCAUCUCCGGGGGUAGAGCACUGUUUCGGCAAGGGGGUCAUCCCGACUUACCAACCCGAUGCAAACUGCGAAUACCGGAGAAUGUUAUCACGGGAGACACACGGCGGGUGCUAACGUCCGUCGUGAAGAGGGAAACAACCCAGACCGCCAGCUAAGGUCCCAAAGUCAUGGUUAAGUGGGAAACGAUGUGGGAAGGCCCAGACAGCCAGGAUGUUGGCUUAGAAGCAGCCAUCAUUUAAAGAAAGCGUAAUAGCUCACUGGUCGAGUCGGCCUGCGCGGAAGAUGUAACGGGGCUAAACCAUGCACCGAAGCUGCGGCAGCGACACUAUGUGUUGUUGGGUAGGGGAGCGUUCUGUAAGCCUGUGAAGGUGUGCUGUGAGGCAUGCUGGAGGUAUCAGAAGUGCGAAUGCUGACAUAAGUAACGAUAAAGCGGGUGAAAAGCCCGCUCGCCGGAAGACCAAGGGUUCCUGUCCAACGUUAAUCGGGGCAGGGUGAGUCGACCCCUAAGGCGAGGCCGAAAGGCGUAGUCGAUGGGAAACAGGUUAAUAUUCCUGUACUUGGUGUUACUGCGAAGGGGGGACGGAGAAGGCUAUGUUGGCCGGGCGACGGUUGUCCCGGUUUAAGCGUGUAGGCUGGUUUUCCAGGCAAAUCCGGAAAAUCAAGGCUGAGGCGUGAUGACGAGGCACUACGGUGCUGAAGCAACAAAUGCCCUGCUUCCAGGAAAAGCCUCUAAGCAUCAGGUAACAUCAAAUCGUACCCCAAACCGACACAGGUGGUCAGGUAGAGAAUACCAAGGCGCUUGAGAGAACUCGGGUGAAGGAACUAGGCAAAAUGGUGCCGUAACUUCGGGAGAAGGCACGCUGAUACGUAGGUGAAGUCCCUCGCGGAUGGAGCUGAAAUCAGUCGAAGAUACCAGCUGGCUGCAACUGUUUAUUAAAAACACAGCACUGUGCAAACACGAAAGUGGACGUAUACGGUGUGACGCCUGCCCGGUGCCGGAAGGUUAAUUGAUGGGGUUAGCGGCAACGCGAAGCUCUUGAUCGAAGCCCCGGUAAACGGCGGCCGUAACUAUAACGGUCCUAAGGUAGCGAAAUUCCUUGUCGGGUAAGUUCCGACCUGCACGAAUGGCGUAAUGAUGGCCAGGCUGUCUCCACCCGAGACUCAGUGAAAUUGAACUCGCUGUGAAGAUGCAGUGUACCCGCGGCAAGACGGAAAGACCCCGUGAACCUUUACUAUAGCUUGACACUGAACAUUGAGCCUUGAUGUGUAGGAUAGGUGGGAGGCUUUGAAGUGUGGACGCCAGUCUGCAUGGAGCCGACCUUGAAAUACCACCCUUUAAUGUUUGAUGUUCUAACGUAGACCCGUGAUCCGGGUUGCGGACAGUGUCUGGUGGGUAGUUUGACUGGGGCGGUCUCCUCCUAAAGAGUAACGGAGGAGCACGAAGGUUGGCUAAUCCUGGUCGGACAUCAGGAGGUUAGUGCAAUGGCAUAAGCCAGCUUGACUGCGAGCGUGACGGCGCGAGCAGGUGCGAAAGCAGGUCAUAGUGAUCCGGUGGUUCUGAAUGGAAGGGCCAUCGCUCAACGGAUAAAAGGUACUCCGGGGAUAACAGGCUGAUACCGCCCAAGAGUUCAUAUCGACGGCGGUGUUUGGCACCUCGAUGUCGGCUCAUCACAUCCUGGGGCUGAAGUAGGUCCCAAGGGUAUGGCUGUUCGCCAUUUAAAGUGGUACGCGAGCUGGGUUUAGAACGUCGUGAGACAGUUCGGUCCCUAUCUGCCGUGGGCGCUGGAGAACUGAGGGGGGCUGCUCCUAGUACGAGAGGACCGGAGUGGACGCAUCACUGGUGUUCGGGUUGUCAUGCCAAUGGCACUGCCCGGUAGCUAAAUGCGGAAGAGAUAAGUGCUGAAAGCAUCUAAGCACGAAACUUGCCCCGAGAUGAGUUCUCCCUGAGACUUUAAGUCUCCUGAAGGAACGUUGAAGACGACGACGUUGAUAGGCCGGGUGUGUAAGCGCAGCGAUGCGUUGAGCUAACCGGUACUAAUGAACCGUGAGGCUUAACCUUACAACGCCGAAG
This 2925-nucleotide ribosomal RNA is filed under the name Escherichia sp. E2586. Its description in RNAcentral is "23S ribosomal RNA". It matches the Rfam family "Bacterial large subunit ribosomal RNA". Lineage: Bacteria; Pseudomonadati; Pseudomonadota; Gammaproteobacteria; Enterobacterales; Enterobacteriaceae. The record is from RNAcentral.